Dermacentor silvarum is the source of this 486-nucleotide long non-coding RNA. RefSeq lists it as uncharacterized. The transcript is spliced from 3 exons. NCBI's taxonomy places the organism in Eukaryota, Metazoa, Arthropoda, Arachnida, Ixodida, Ixodidae. The record is from RefSeq and is a predicted model, not a curated record.
ACAGCGCAAUAGGUGUGAAUGCUAGGAUGCACUGGGUUGGCUCUGACUAAUAAUUGAUCAUGCUGUAAUGUUGAAGUAAAAAUGAACCUGGUAUGAGCAGGUGCAUAUAAAGUCAAGAAAGGUUUGAAAACGCUUAGUUUGAAGGCAUCUUUUGAAGAAAAAAUGUUGGCGAUGCAGCUACUAUCGUUGACUCUCAUUGCAUGUUUUGUUUUCUGCCUAGGUGUCGCAGACGACGACGACGAGUCAGAUUCCAGGAAUGAAAAUGAUGGGCCCACGGAGAAGCCUGGCGCAAAUGAGAGUAAUGUCGGCUAUCUUUGGUUCCAUCACUCGGUGACGCCGCGAACGAGGACUCCGGAUUUUCGCGUUCAUACCUUACGUUCUGGCGUUCAUACCUUACGGCUUUCGGCGGCUUUACUCGGCCCAAUGCUCAAACAUGUAAUUAGGUGUGGAGCGUUUAAUUUCUAUAAUCAUAUUUUCUAAAAAUUC